GGAUGAUUGCUUCCAUGCACCACUCCGAAGUUGCUGUGGAGCUAGAUCCUUCCUGCAC
Molecule: small nucleolar RNA, 58 nt
Filed under: Euglena gracilis
Lineage: Eukaryota; Euglenozoa; Euglenophyceae; Euglenales; Euglenaceae
Description: Eg-m99.3
Source: RNAcentral